AGUGAACGCUGGCGGUAGGCCUAACACAUGCAAGUCGAACGGCAGCACAGUAAGAGCUUGCUCUUACGGGUGGCGAGUGGCGGACGGGUGAGGAAUACAUCGGAAUCUACUUUUUCGUGGGGGAUAACGUAGGGAAACUUACGCUGAUACCGCAUACGACCUACGGGUGAAAGCAGGGGAUCUUCGGACCUUGCGCGAUUGAAUGAGCCGAUGUCGGAUUAGCUAGUUGGCGGGGUAAAGGCCCACCAAGGCGACGAUCCGUAGCUGGUCUGAGAGGAUGAUCAGCCACACUGGAACUGAGACACGGUCCAGACUCCUACGGGAGGCAGCAGUGGGGAAUAUUGGACAAUGGGCGCAAGCCUGAUCCAGCCAUACCGCGUGGGUGAAGAAGGCCUUCGGGCUGUAAAGCCCUUUUGUUGGGAAAGAAAAGCAGCAGGUUAAUACCCCGCUGUUCUGACGGUACCCAAAGAAUAAGCACCGGCUAACUUCGUG
RNAcentral lists this ribosomal RNA (492 nucleotides) under uncultured bacterium. Its description in RNAcentral is "partial 16S ribosomal RNA". It matches the Rfam family "Bacterial small subunit ribosomal RNA", at positions 29 to 507 of the family's 1533-position model. The record is from RNAcentral.